RNAcentral lists this ribosomal RNA (253 nucleotides) under uncultured bacterium. RNAcentral describes it as "partial 16S ribosomal RNA". It matches the Rfam family "Bacterial small subunit ribosomal RNA", at positions 524 to 776 of the family's 1533-position model. The record is from RNAcentral.
UACGUAGGGGGCAAGCGUUGUCCGGAAUCAUUGGGCGUAAAGGGCUCGUAGGCGGUUUGUCGCGUCGGGAGUGAAAACCAGGUGCUUAACACCUGGCUUGCUUUCGAUACGGGCAGACUAGAGGUAUUCAGGGGAGAACGGAAUUCCUGGUGUAGCGGUGAAAUGCGCAGAUAUCAGGAGGAACACCGGUGGCGAAGGCGGUUCUCUGGGAAUGACCUGACGCUGAGGAGCGAAAGUGUGGGGAGCGAACAGG